GCUUACACAUGCAAGUCGAACGAUGAUGCCAGCUUGCUGGCGGAUUAGUGGCGAACGGNUGAGUAACACGUGAGUAACCUGCCCUUAACUCUGGGAUAAGCCUGGGAAACUGGGUCUAAUACCGGAUAUGACUCCUCAUCGCAUGGUGGGGGGUGGAAAGCUUUAUUGUGGUUUUGGAUGGACUCGCGGCCUAUCAGCUUGUUGGUGAGGUAAUGGCUCACCAAGGCGACGACGGGUAGCCGGCCUGAGAGGGUGACCGGCCACACUGGGACUGAGACACGGCCCAGACUCCUACGGGAGGCAGCAGUGGGGAAUAUUGCACAAUGGGCGAAAGCCUGAUGCAGCGACGCCGCGUGAGGGAUGACGGCCUUCGGGUUGUAAACCUCUUUCAGUAGGGAAGAAGCGAAAGUGACGGUACCUGCAGAAGAAGCGCCGGCUAACUACGUGCCAGCAGCCGCGGUAAUACGUAGGGCGCAAGCGUUAUCCGGAAUUAUUGGGCGUAAAGAGCUCGUAGGCGGUUUGUCGCGUCUGCCGUGAAAGUCCGGGGCUCAACUCCGGAUCUGCGGUGGGUACGGGCAGACUAGAGUGAUGUAGGGGAGACUGGAAUUCCUGGUGUAGCGGUGAAAUGCGCAGAUAUCAGGAGGAACACCGAUGGCGAAGGCAGGUCUCUGGGCAUUAACUGACGCUGAGGAGCGAAAGCAUGGGGAGCGAACAGGAUUAGAU
This 723-nucleotide ribosomal RNA is filed under the name bacterium EJ10-S-2. RNAcentral describes it as "bacterial SSU rRNA". It matches the Rfam family "Bacterial small subunit ribosomal RNA", at positions 46 to 783 of the family's 1533-position model. The record is from RNAcentral.